CCCUUAGAGUUUGAUCCUGGCUCAGAUUGAACGCUGGCGGCAGGCCUAACACAUGCAAGUCGAGCGGUAGCACAGAGAGCUUGCUCUCGGGUGACGGGCGGCGGACGGGUGAGUAAUGUCUGGGAAACUGCCUGAUGGAGGGGGAUAACUACUGGAAACGGUAGCUAAUACCGCAUAAUGUCGCAAGACCAAAGUGGGGGACCUUCGGGCCUCAUGCCAUCAGAUGUGCCCAGAUGGGAUUAGCUAGUAGGUGGGGUAACGGCUCACCUAGGCGACGAUCCCUAGCUGGUCUGAGAGGAUGACCAGCCACACUGGAACUGAGACACGGUCCAGACUCCUACGGGAGGCAGCAGUGGGGAAUAUUGCACAAUGGGCGCAAGCCUGAUGCAGCCAUGCCGCGUGUGUGAAGAAGGCCUUCGGGUUGUAAAGCACUUUCAGCGGGGAGGAAGGCGAUAAGGUUAAUAACCUGUCGA
RNAcentral lists this ribosomal RNA (473 nucleotides) under uncultured bacterium. RNAcentral describes it as "bacterial SSU rRNA". It matches the Rfam family "Bacterial small subunit ribosomal RNA", at positions 1 to 475 of the family's 1533-position model. The record is from RNAcentral.